This 1228-nucleotide long non-coding RNA is filed under the name Nicotiana benthamiana. RNAcentral's name for it is "long non-coding RNA (NBEN_LNC038884)". Lineage: Eukaryota; Viridiplantae; Streptophyta; Magnoliopsida; Solanales; Solanaceae. The record is from RNAcentral.
UUGGAGAGUUUUUGAGUGCUGAAAAGAAUAGCUACUAUUGUAUUGCCUCACUUAGGAUCUGCAAUAGCUAGAAACCCUAUUCCUUUCUUUCUACUUCUUUUCUAUACUAGAAGUUAAAAUAGUUGGUGUCGUUUAUAGGUUUGGAUCUGCUUAUUUGAAUCAAAAUUCAAUACCAAUUGGUUUGGCCAAGGUCGUGUUUUGGGUGUUUUGGUUUCUAUUGGCUUCACACUAUCCCUGGGUUGUUUGAAUUGAGCUCUGGGCUGUUGGUUGAUUUUUGCCUGUUAUUGCUGCUGGUGUAUUGUUGUUGAAUCUGCCGCUACUGCCUUCUCUUUAUUCUUGUUUUGUUUUCAAAUCCAGGUACACAUUUGAAUCACGUAUGGCUAUAGCUUGGAUAUUGAAAUGAUGCAAUAAAAUCGGCAAUCCUCUUGUCUUUUGAAGUUUAUAUAUUCAAACUGCCUUAGUAGUAUAGUUAGUAAAUGGUUCAUAUUAGACACUUUCCAAUUGUAUUUACUUUGUAGGAAUGGGAAUGUACUUGAAUUAGUUGGGACUGUUUUAGACUUUAAAUUUGAGGUUAUAUAGCAAGGGUCUUGUCAUAGUUGUAUACGUAUUUUAAUUAGUAUUCUAUAAGUAAUAAAAACACAGUUCUGAAGUGAUUUAAAUAGUUUGGAAGUCAUCAUGUGGUGUCUGUGACAAUGGUGGUUUCAAGUUGCAUGUAUAAUCCAAACAGCUCUGCGUUACAUUAGCUAAUCAACAAUAUGGAUAACUUGUUGUAGUCGCCUUAGAAUUAGAUGUGAAUGAAAUGCAAAUUAAGGCUGUUAAUUCGUUCUCGUUAGUGUAGUAAAAUAAUCAGGCCAAUUCGGGUCAAUAAUUUAGACGUAGUUUAAAGGAUUCAAUUCAAGAUUUAGCAAUAAUACAAGUUUGUGAUUUGAGUUAGGUAGCGGGUUCAAAUUAAAAGGUCCCCCUUUUUUGUUUGGAUCUGGACUUGAACUUGGAGCCCGAACUUUUAAUGUCAACUAAUUACCUUUUCUUUAUUCUUUGAGACAAAGGUAUAGAAAAUCAUAGUUGCUUCAGGAUACCCUUAAACAAUAUAUGAGAUGAGCCUCGCCGGACAAAGAACAUAAAUUGCGGGGCUCUCGUUAAAUGUAUAUAUUAAAACUCCUAGAUUUCCGGAGGACCAUCUAGAGAAUUUUAUGGCUUUAUCAAAAACAUUAAUGCGUUAGUCUCUUUC